This 579-nucleotide long non-coding RNA is filed under the name Capra hircus (goat). RNAcentral's name for it is "lncRNA (ENSCHIG00000003994.1)". The record is from RNAcentral. Lineage: Eukaryota; Metazoa; Chordata; Mammalia; Artiodactyla; Bovidae.
CGGGGGCUGACGUCACCGCCGGGAGGAGGGGCGGCCCGUGCCGAGGCGACUGGAGAGCGGGAUGCUCGGGCCUCGCUGGCGCAGGCGCUCCCUCGCCGCCGGGCCGGCGCAGCGCGGCGGCGACCGGAUUCAGCCCGCGUGAGCUGAGCGCGGCAAUUCUUAAUUUAGCGGAGGGCGGAAGGUAUCUUUAGACCUUAGCGCGUCCAUCUCUGGGUUCAUUCGUCAGAACCGCCCGCACGCCGUCCGCGCUUUCCUCUGAUGAACCAGACAAAGGCAAGAAAGGGGGAAACAGGCUUGAACAACUACGCACUUGCAGAGGACAAAACUGCAGCUGACUUUCUUUUAUCGGAGCCUGGAAAUUACAGCCUUAUGUGUAUAACCGAACUUUGCUGAAGCACUGAACACUGAUUAAUGCAAUUAAAUGAAUACAGGACAUCAUUAAGACCGACUUUGUGGCAAAACCAUUAAUGAGGCUAAUUUGUCUAUAAACAGAUUAUUAGGUAAGACUUUUAAUUGUGUAUGUCAUUAAGUGCUUCUUAGAACCAGCAUCCUAUUUGUUGGAAAGAGGUGAUAAUUCUU